RNAcentral lists this long non-coding RNA (200 nucleotides) under Ricinus communis (castor bean). RNAcentral's name for it is "long non-coding RNA (RCOM_LNC001474)". The record is from RNAcentral. Lineage: Eukaryota; Viridiplantae; Streptophyta; Magnoliopsida; Malpighiales; Euphorbiaceae.
GAAACGCAAAGUUUCGAUCGUCUCUUACAUUUGAGAAGUUAAGUUAAUUGUUUUUCUUGUAAGACCAGCCCCUCACCCCUCUCCUCUACCGCCGCCCUCCUGUGCCGCCCCCUUGCCUUGACCCUCAUGUGCUGCCAUCGCCCUCCACUAAUGCCCCUCCUCCUUCCACUGUCGUCGUCCUUCUUCAAAAAGCUGAGUCC